Molecule: unclassified non-coding RNA, 2030 nt
Filed under: Hevea brasiliensis (rubber tree)
Lineage: Eukaryota; Viridiplantae; Streptophyta; Magnoliopsida; Malpighiales; Euphorbiaceae
Source: RNAcentral
GCGAAAUAUAAAUUUUGAUUUAUAGCCCAUAAAUAAAUUGUCUUACGAAAACCUUUUGAAAAAAUUACAGGAUCAGGCAAAAGUUACGAUCUACGUCAUACUAUUUUGUAACCAUUUCAAUUUCAAAACUAUAAAAUUAUUCUAUUUAAGAAAAGGGAUCACCUCUCACUACAAAUCUCUAGGAUUUUCCCAGGAAACAAGGCUGUUUACAAAAGGUAAGUAAGGGCCAUAAUUCCACCCGGGUUUCUUUUCCAUCUCAAUCCUCCUCAUUUCUUGAUGUUGAAAAUCAUAAACAUAGUAGCAUCCAUCUCCUCUGCUCUCAAAGCAGAUUUCUCUGGCAUUUCUUGAAGCAGUCACAGGUACUAAAUCAUCAGUUACAGAAUCUAUAUGUAUAGUAUGUUGCUUGCUCCAAGCUUCCCCAUGCAAGCCUUUGCAGAUCCAUAUGUCCAUGACAAAAGGUUGAGCAUUAUGAGUGAUCAAUCCUAAAAAACCCCACAGCUCUACAAGCCUAUCACGCCUUUUGUAUGCGCUUGGAAGUGGGAUUGUGAAAAAUGUUUCACGGUCGAUAUCCAUAGACACAAUGUAUUCGCAGUUAUGAGUGUCAGGAACCCAAUGUAAAGCCCCAAUUGCUGAAACUGAUUCUUGUGCAAACUUUCUCACAAGUCCUAAAGAUGGACCAUCCACUCCUCUCCAUGAUUUUGUACCAACACUCAGUAUCUCACAGCCAACAUGUAAUCUCUUAUCAAUAAACAAAUGCACAACUUUGUAUUUUCCUUCAUGAUUGCUGUACAUAAAUCCAUAAGACUCCAGAUUUCUAGAAAUUGGAGCAACAGUACCAAGAGGAUAUCGAAUAAGCUUCCUGGUCAUAGGAUUCAUCACUACUAUGCCUUUGUUCUUCCCCAAUUGAACCAAAAUAAGCCCAUCACAUGUAGCAAGAAUAUUGCCAGAGCAAGUAAUGUUCAACUCCACAACUUUGAUCUUGGAAUUCUGAACCUCCAGAAAAUGCAAGUGACCUUGCUGAUAUUGUCUAGAUGAAUCAGUGGGAAAGAUUGAGAACUGCUCUAAACCAAGCCUCAAAUCGAUAGAGAGGUUAUAAGGGUUUGGAAACUGGGGUUUUGGAUCAAGACAGAUAAGGGUAGUCUCACAGAGCUGUAGGUGAGCAUCCGCAAAAGCAAAGCUGUUGAUUAAAUUGAACCACGUCUUGCACACACAACUUAAUCUGACAAGAGAUUUGAUUGGAAGCAGAACAAGAAUCUGAAAAACAAAAUCAGAAGAAAAAUAUUCUCCUUCACAAGCUCGAUACUUCACAACCCUUGAUGCUCUCCUCUCUUGUACCAUUCUCCAUAACCUUGAAUUUCUCCGUACAAUUUUGCUCCUGUUACCAUCACCUGGAAAGAGUCCCAUACUUUCUCUCAUAAGCUACGAUCAGAGAAACUAUUUAUUAGAAGAAGUUCUCGGAAGCAUCAACAGAAAAUCAAAUCACCAUCAAACAAAUUAAUCGAUCAGAGCGUCCCGUCAUACCAUUUUGAUUUCAAUAAUAAGAAAAUACAUCAGAAGCAUGAAAAUUUGAAAUAAUGAGCUAAUUAAACAACAAAAGCGAAGAACUAACAAAAUCCAAAGAGUAAAAAGUGUCUAACUUCGAUACCAAUCAUUGUGAUCUUGGAGCAGGUUCUACAAACCCUAAUUUCAGUUUUUUCAAUGGAAUUCAAGGGUCAAAUUACAUUUACCAAGAAGAACUUAGGCAGAGAAAUGAAUUAAAGAGCUAGGUUUUGGUAGAUUAGAUAACAACCACAUUAAAUUAUUCAGUAGAAAGAUAUCUAUUCUCUUAAACGAAAACGAAAUCAAAAUUUGAAAGAUCGCCCAAGAUAGGAAAUCUAAAUCAGCGUUCCAUGAUCUUACCUAGUAAGUAUUCUCCAGAGAGCGAGAGAUAGAAUCCAGGUCUACUGGUGAGAAGAGUCAGAACCCAGUGUAGACGACGGUGGAGAAAAGGGUUAGAGUACGCUAUAGAGACUGGCAGUUACUUCCGCGCU